ACGUAAAAAGCAAAACUGUCGUAAGGCAGUGACGCAAAGCUAUAGGGUUUUAUGCAAUAAAACAGCCAGUUGCCAA
Molecule: non-coding RNA, 76 nt
Filed under: pig gut metagenome
Description: Cyclic di-GMP-I riboswitch
Rfam family: c-di-GMP-I riboswitch aptamer
About the family: GEMM was predicted in a large-scale screen for bacterial structured RNA regulatory elements.
Source: RNAcentral